Molecule: non-coding RNA, 2712 nt
Organism: Triticum urartu
Lineage: Eukaryota; Viridiplantae; Streptophyta; Magnoliopsida; Poales; Poaceae
Source: RefSeq, a predicted model, not a curated record
GACAAGCCUUUCUCCAGGACAUAAAGAAAAUUGUGGCACUUUGGGUUUUCAAGACGCCGCCUCGCGUAGGACUACGGACAUGGGAUGCUCGGUCGAGUUUUUCUUAACUCGUCAGGAUUCUCAUGCUGCAAAUUUAGUAACGGGGCAAAUUUUUGGGUGUCCUGAUGUGUUUGCGGAUUGAUGAAAAUUUGGCGAGGGAGAUCAUAAACCAUCGCUAGCUGCAGCACAUCAAUUGUUGAAUUCGUUUGAAGGAGCUGUCAAUUGUUGAAUUCGCUUGAAGGAGAUGGAGCUCGUUUGGCUGAAUUUGCUACUGACUUGCCACAUUUUGAGGGCCUGCAAUUGAAGAAUACAACACUUGAGAUAACAAUUGAAGAAUACUAGAGUAAUAAUAACUACUGCAAGAGUGAUGUACUUUCUUUUUGUUGGAGAUUUUCUGCAUCUUUUAUGGACGGUAACAUUUGAGAUAACAAUUUGAUGUGCUAACCAUCAAGAUCAACUUCGACAUGUUUGGUCUCUAAAAGUUACUAUUGACCAUCAUUGGUGCAUCCUAUAAGGUAUAGUCAGUACUAUGAGUAACUUACCAGACAUUGACUGUAGAAGUUGCUAUCCAACUCUUGUGAAAUCUAACCAUGUUAUUCAUUUACGAUACCUAUACGUAUGUGGUACACAAUCUGAAAUAGUAGAAGGGGAAAAUAAAGCAUUAAUGUGGAGUAUGUUCCAAUGGAAAUCUUCAGGAACACCUUGAAGGUCUGAGUGCAAUUUUUCUUUAGUUCUCUGUGAGCUUAAAAAUGCAACUGAUGUGGCCCAUGCAACUGAAAUUAAAAACAUGGAGAAGAAUCAUAAAAGAUCUCGCUGAAAAUGCCCUCGUUCUGCACUUCGUGUGGACAGGCAGCACCCUUUACCUUCGAAGUCUCGAAAAAUGGUCUGGGUGAUGCGGGUGCCUCAAUGCUUGAUGCCAUGUUCUGUAAGAGGCCAAGGCAAAAUGGAUAAGUCUGUAACUGGAACUCUGGAUAGUUGAUCCUCUGAAUGGCGAAAAAUUUAUCAAAGUUGCUGAGAUUCAGGGGUCUGAAAUUAAGCCAUUUGUGGAUAGUUUAUCUAAAUGCCCAAAACCCACUUAGAGCUCCAGAGAGGUCUUGUUUUCUUGUACUAUGGAUUUAAGGUGAUUCUCAAGAGGAACAAGUCGCCAUGGACCGAUGAGAUCGAGAGACGGCUCCACGGUUGCGUGGAGUGGCGGCUGAGAGGAGAGGCAAUAACAACUCGUUGUCCGUGACGGCCCGAGCGUUUGCGAGAGGGGAUGGAGCGGGGGUUGCAUCGUCACGGCCAGUUGCCAGAGUGGGUGGAGUGGUGGCCGCACGGACGCGCUCCUAGAGGUGCCGGUAUGCACCCUGAUUUUGAGCCUGGGAGGUUCCUUGCUCUGCCCUAUCCUCAAGGGUGUUCAUCUACUUUGGUAUCGUGCUCUGGAGUCAGGACGAUGCACUAAUGCAGGUUUGAUUCUUUACUUUUUCUUUUGUUUUAUUUGUAUACAUAUCCCUGAAUUUUGUGAGCCGUGAUUUAAAUGUUGUCGUGUGUGCCAUUGUCUCCUAUAUAAUUAUUCUAUUGAAGCACCGCUGCAACCCAGUUUGUUUAUCAAAUUGAUGCAAGAAACAAACUAAUACAUAGAGAGUAUAAAUUUAUUGCAUUAAUCUGUAUAUCCCUGCACCUACCGAUAGGUAGAGAUGGAUAAAUUUUGUAGCUUUUUGAUCCCGGUUUUUCCUAUUGAAAUUAUGGAUUUGGAAGCUAAUCAUGGAGUGUUUCGAUUGCCUGCUUACGGAAUCGCAAUAAGCACAAGUCUGCAACCUUGAAGGAAAACCCGUUGCAACUGAUGACAUAAUAUUACGUUGCAACAAGAAUGUAUAGAGCUGCAGAGCUCUGUGGAUCCUUCUCUUCACAAAAGGCGAGAAGCGGAGGCGUGUGCCUAGAGUAGCGGACCAUGAUGGAUUGAUGAGCUGAUGUCACGUGACGUACUCACGCGGCGGUUGUUUAGGCUCCGGCGGCUGGAGCCAUCAUCGACCAUGAUGCCGCGCCAGGAGCACAAGGGCUAAGACGAGGACAUGUUGGUGCCGAUGAAAUAAGGUUUAUUGGGUCGUCCUCUUCCAGCAACAUAUUACACAAUCUAUUUAAGCCGAUUGAUUCUCUUUGGUACAAAUGUCCCUCAUUUAGUUGAUGAAACUCUACCUUAAUAAAAUUAAUUGAGUUGGGAACCAUAACAUAUAUACAUCUAUGACUGGUAUCUAUUUGGCUAUAUUAAACUGACAAUUUAUUCUUCUUACCGGAAGGAUAUGUCGUGAAGAUGAUUAAUUCUACAAACUAUACUGCUAAUUCAUCGGAAAUGACUACCAACUUGUUUAAUUCCGCAUGUGCAGGUGCUGCCGGUUGAUGGGGGCCUAACCAUGAGUCUAACUGAAAGUGAACGGGAGCGAUGUGCAGAAAAAAAUCUUAGCACAUAGGCUGAAUUUGUAUAGUACUUCGAAUUUAUUAGGCAGUACCCCCUCCAUUUGUAUAUCACUUCCGAAUACAAGUUCAGGUUAUUAGGCAGUACUAUUGAAUUUAAGGAUUGAUACUUGAAGAUUUUAAAAGGUUACUAAAUUUUGUACCAAGUCUACUGUUAUGUAUGGGAAGAACAUGCGCUAAAAUAUUGAUAAUGCAAAUGAAAGUGAUCGUUUGAUUAUUAAA